This 491-nucleotide ribosomal RNA is filed under the name uncultured bacterium. RNAcentral's name for it is "bacterial SSU rRNA". It matches the Rfam family "Bacterial small subunit ribosomal RNA", at positions 29 to 526 of the family's 1533-position model. The record is from RNAcentral.
AAUGAACGUUGGCGGCGUGGAUUAGGCAUGCAAGUCGAGCGAGAAGUUUUCUUAGCUUGCUUUGAAAACGGACAGCGGCGAAAGGGAGAGUAACGUGUGGUUACGUGCCCUCGGGUUCGGGAUAGCGUCGGGAAACUGGCGGUAAUACCGAAUAAUAUCUUUGGAUCAAAGGUGUGAUUCCGCCCGAGGAUCGGACCGCAUACUAUUAGCUUGUUGGUGGGGUAACGGCCUACCAAGGCUGCGAUGGUUACCGGGUGUGAGAGCAUGGCCCGGCUCACUGGGACUGAGACACUGCCCAGACAUCUACGGAUGGCUGCAGUCGAGAAUCUUCGGCAAUGGACGAAAGUCUGACCGAGCGACGCCGCGUGCGGGAUGAAGGCCCUCGGGUUGUAAACCGCUGUCAGUUUGGAGGAAGGGUCUGUGAAGAGCAGAUUUUGACCGAUAUUCAGAGGAAGGACGGGCUAAGUUCGUGCCAGCCGCCGCGGUAACAC